RNAcentral lists this long non-coding RNA (2368 nucleotides) under Olea europaea subsp. europaea. The record is from RNAcentral. Lineage: Eukaryota; Viridiplantae; Streptophyta; Magnoliopsida; Lamiales; Oleaceae.
CACCGAUUAAGCCUAAUCACCAUAAAAUGAAUUAAUUUGGACUAGUUUCAUUUUUAUUUUUAUUUUUUUACUCAACAAAAUGGACUGAUUUGCACUAAACUUUAAAGCAGUAUAAAAUCUAAUUGAGAACUUUUCUAUGGAAUAAUAAAUAAAAGGGCUUACCACAGCUCCCUUGAUCUUUCACUGGAGGGACAGGGCCUUUGUCUCUCCAGUCAAUGGAAUUUGGCAAGUUGUUGCCGUCUUUCAGUUUAUACCGUCCCGAUCACUCUUCGUCUUCCUAUCACCGAUUUUCGCACACAAAUACAUGGAUCGGUACUCCUCAUUGCUGAGAUCAGUGAAUCAGUUCAAACCCAGUUUAUAGGUCCGAUUCGCAGCGCUGUUCUGCUCAUCUAUGUACCUUAUAUUAUCCAAAAAAGUUCUCGAAGCGAAAGAACAUCGUUUUUGCACCCUCAAUCAACACUAAGACCUUCUAUUGGGGCUGAACGGGAGCAAAUUAAUUGGGCAAAAUAUGGAGAAGUAAAACUUUUGGUCGGGAGUGAAGAAGAGGAGAAGAGAGGAGAGGCGUGAAUUAUGAGCCUGUUUGGGCACGAUUUUUUCAUCCAAAAAAUUGAUUUUUUAAACGUUAUUUCACUAUUUCAACAAUCAUAUUUGAUUUCUUCUCUCACACGUGGACCCCACUUUUUUUCUAACGGUCAAAAAAUCAAUUCUUAAAAUCACUCCCAAACAGACUCUAUUAGUCUAGUGUUUGGAUUAUUUUGGGUCCGUAUAUAAUUUUAUUUGUGUUCAUUUUUUGAUACUUUUUGCAACCUUCAACGAAUGCUGCAAAAAGGAAAAAUGUCUUAAUAAUGAACAUUGCGAAAAAUAAAACUUUUUGCAACAUUUGAUAAAUAUUGUGAAAAGUGAAAUUUUUGUAAUGGCCAGUGAACGUUGAAAAAAGAACCUUUAGCAAUAUUUAGUAAGUGUUGUGAAAAUGGAAUUUUCCACAACAUUCAAUAAACGUUGCAAAAUGUGACAUUAAAAACAUCCAUUUAAAAAAUGUCGUCAAAGCUCAAUUUUGUUAACCAAUAGCAACAUACACUCAUUAAAAUGUUGCGGUAGAUCCUUUAGCAACACUUAGCUACCAAAUGUUACCUUUUAUCUAUUGCAAAUAAUCAUUUUUGGUGUAGUGCCGCAAGUUGUUCUUGCAAUAUAUGAAGACAUUAAUAGAGCUUUUUUAUAACCUGGCAUAUUACAUCCAGGUGGCUUUCUGUGGUUAUCUCCAAGGCUAGGACGAAAUGAGGAAAAACCUUGCUAUAUUGUCGAAAUCUUUUGCCAAAUUCUUUGAUAUAAUGUCAUAUGACAUUUUAUUAUUGGAGUGUUUAAAAAACAGUCAAUUUCUACAUUUAAGCAUACUUUGCCAACAAGUCAUCUGUCAAGGAAUCUGGCAACAUUUUCUCGUAAAAUGGCUUAACUCAAUAAGGAAAGAUGAAGGUGGACUAGAGCGCAAGUGUCAGUGGGAGCCCAAAAAAAGCGCGCAUAUCAACUAGAAUAAUACCAGUAGUUUGAAAGCGUUAUCACAUGGCCCAAGACACAGGUGACCGUUGUAAAAAAGUCUUUACCAUAGCCAUGUUCUAAAGGCAUUGUGCUAGCCGUUGUAUUCCAAAUAUAUACAAAAAUAAAUCAACAAAUACAGGCUCUACCUACUACUUCUUUCCUCUUCAUACUUGUGUAGAUGGUCAUCUACAUCCUGGGCUUGUUUUGAAGAUUUUUCUUUUCAUUUACUUAAUCAGUGCUUCUGAUUAGUUCUUCUGAUAAAAAAAGGAGAUAAAGAUAGAUAUUACAUUUUAGACAUUUGUACCAACUAUAAUUGAGAAGAAAAGCAAAGAACAAUAAGUAAAAACCAUUGGAUCUCUAAAAAUAUUUCUGGGUGAACAUUGGAAUACAAACACCAUGCAAGAGAUAUCAGAAAGUGAGAAUUGAUUUGAUUGUUGCACAUAUUAAACAGAAAUUAUAAAUAAUUCUUCUCCUCCUGAUCAUUCAUGUUUGGCUAUACUUAAAAAAUACAGGUUGGGAACAAGCUUACUAGGAAGGUCAAAGGUUAGGGUCCACGCUUAUUUUACAUUUUUGUUUGACUAGAGCAAUACCUUCCAAUUUCAUUAAUAAUUUUUCAAGAGACAAAUGGAGGAGACUGACGGCCGUGCACCAACUAGCUAAUGUCUUGGUUUGACUUUGUACAUGUAUUCACACAUGUAUUUGAAUGGUAUUUCUAGCGUUUUUAACUGAUAUGUGGGAAACCUCGCAAAAGUAACUUUUCUUUUUCAAGAGAGUUUACGAUACUAAACAAAGUUUUUGCUUCAAAAAAAUGGACAUCAAUUUAAACAUCUUGAAA